GAGGUGCUGAAGGGACAGUUCCCGCCGCCGAACUUGCCGGGCGGCCGUGGGGAGGGUGGGGCGGCCCCGGAGCGCGCGGGGCCCGCCGCGAUGGAGACCAUUUGGAUCUACCAGUUCCGCCUCAUCGUGAUCGGGGACUCCACGGUGGGCAAGUCGUGCCUCCUGCACCGCUUCACCCAGGGCCGCUUCCCGGGGCUGCGCUCCCCCGCCUGCGACCCCACGGUCGGCGUGGACUUCUUCUCCCGCCUGCUGGAGAUCGAGCCGGGCAAGCGGAUCAAGCUGCAGCUCUGGGACACGGCGGGGCAGGAGCGCUUCAGGUCAAUAACUCGAUCUUAUUACCGCAACUCAGUUGGUGGAUUUUUAGUAUUUGACAUUACUAACCGACGAUCUUUUGAACACGUGAAAGAUUGGCUGGAAGAAGCAAAAAUGCACGUACAGCCAUUUCGGAUUGUAUUUUUGCUAGUGGGACACAAAUGCGACUUAGCUUCAAUACGUCAAGUUACAAGGGAAGAAGCUGAAAAGCUGUCAGCGGACUGUGGUAUGAAGUAUAUAGAAACCUCAGCAAAAGAUGCUACCAAUGUUGAGGAAUCCUUCACUAUCUUGACAAGAGACAUCUAUGACCUUAUCAAAAGGGGAGAGAUUUGUAUUCAGGAUGGCUGGGAAGGGGUGAAAAGUGGUUUUGUUCCAAAUACUGUGCAUUCUUCUGAGGAAGCAGUGAAGCCCAGGAAAGAGUGCUUCUGCUGACUUCAGACAUGCCAAAGAACCGUCAAGAACCGGUGGACGUCAUUCCAGGAUAGAGACCACCAUCAGCACUGUUUUAGAGGAAGCAGAAGGAGGUGCAUGUUCUCAUGGACCUGGGGGAAUUCUUGGUUUGAUGAGUACCCUCUGCCCUCUUAUCCUGAAGCACCACUCCUCCAAAGAGCAAAUGCUAGAAAGAAAAAUCCCAGGAGACUUAAUUGAAGCAAAAGUCAUAUUGGAAUCUAGUCUUUGUGCAUCUUCAAGAUAGAUAUUAUAUUUUUAAAUACAUGUACAUUUUCUAGGUUCAUGUAAGUAUUUUUAAUAGUGCUUAUGGAGAGAAAAAAUAUAAAUUAUAACAUCACUAUAUAAUUUUUGAAUAUUUAUAUUGUCAACAUUUUCUUGAUAGCCUUAGAUUAAUUUCAUGUGAGUUCACACUAUAAUUGACCAGAUAAGAAAAUACCUGUCCCCAAAAUGUGAAGUAAUCUAUUUUUACUGUUAAAAAUUUAAAUCUUAUAAUUUUUCAUCAGUCCAAAAUGGCAUAAACUCAAAAAGUGAAUAUCUAACGAAAGGUGAAUAAAGUUAAACACCUAAAAUAUAAAAUGUGAUUUAACUUUCAGUGGACACAUUUUUUAAUACUAAUAUUUGGGCUAAAGGGUAUGAUCUGUUCCAAGAUUCAGAGUAUAAUUAAGGAAUCAGAAGAAACAAAUGGGAAGGCAGGGCCCCAAAAGUUGGUAACUACCAAGGUCACCCGUGAGCAGAAGCAAGCCUAGAACGCUGGUUCUCCUUACACCUUAGUCGGUGUUCUUUCCAUUGCCAUGCUGUGUGAAGUGUGUAUGUGUUUGUGUGUGCAGUGGAGAAAAGGGGAAAUGAGAGCUAACUGAAUCCACAAAAUACUAAAUUGGGCUAAACCAUUUUGAGGUUAUAGAGGAGCUAUUUAUGGUAAAACAAUUUUAAAAUGAACAAUGACUACAAAGAUCUGCAUUCUUAUACAAGAUUGCCAAACAUGUGUAUAAACGUAGCCAGAUAUCUUUAUCCAGAAAUACAUAUAUGUAUACAUAUAUAAGGAUAUAAAAUAGCUGACCUAUUUUCUUAUACAGAAUAUGAAUAAUAAUGCCAAAAUAGUAAAAAUAUUUGUUCACGACCAAAGUGUCUUAAAAGUCAGAUAUACAUAAAUUAGAUACAAUUGAAAUUAUUUAAUUUAUAAUUUAUUUAAUUUAAAUUUAAAAAUUUUAAACUACUGAAUGAUGUAGCUAAUUACUAAAUAUUUUAAAUAAAUCUGAUUUUAAAAAAUAAAAAACUAUCCAAUCAUAUGAUACACUUGUCCCUGACAGAAAUUGCUCAACUUGAGUUGAAUUAACACUUUUAGUGCAAGUGGUGAUGUGAUGGUUCAUUAAAUGAGAAGCUUAAGCCAAAAUGAUUAUGUAAUCAUAGUGCUUUUAAAUGUGGCCUUUAUAUACAUAAUAGUAGCAAACAAGAUUUCUUGAGCCUGGAAUCUUGAGAGUUUACUCCAUGAUUUUUGUGUGUGGCAACCAAAGCCAUCUUUAUUAUUAAGAUAACUUUACCAAUCUAUUUAUCCAACUUUACAACAUCAAAAAACUGAAUCUGUGGAUUAAUAAAAUCAUUUUUAAGAGUGCUUUUGUCAGAUUUUAUAUUACCCUUUGUUCAGUUAAUUACAAAGCUUCCAUUGACUUCAAAAAGUGCACUACACAGGUAUUUGAAUAAUUUCCUUAGGUCUGAGAAGGAUUUGAAAGACUAAAGGUCCAUUUCAUAAGCUAACUCGUUUUUCCCAAGUAACUGCCUGGAGAGAUUUAGUUGGAAAUGCAAAGAAAACAUGUAAUCUUUAAGAGGGGGGGGGGGGAAGAUUGUAAAGGCUUUAAAUUUAGAUCCUUUGUAUUUUAAUAUAGAAUACAUUCCCAACUAGAAGCUAGCUUGGAAAUUCUAUAGCUGAAAAAUAGCUCUCUCUGCUUCAAAAUCUUUCUAAAUCCAAAUGUAUUUCUAUAAUCCUAAUAACCAGUGAAAGUAGACACAUGAGUGAUGGGCUAUGACAAUCUCUAUCAAUCACUACACUAUCUAGUUCACUUACUACAUGUAAUUAUGGUGGGGAAUAAAUGAAAAAAAUUUUUUUAAGAUUUUAAAAAUUAGCCCUAACUGGUUUGGCUCAGUGGAUAAAGUGCCAGCCUGCAGACUGAAGGGUCCCAGGUUCAAUUCCGGUCAAGGGCACACACUUUGGUUGCCAGUCUCCAGGGCGAGUGUGGGAGGUAACCAAUGAAUGUGUUGAAUAUGUCUCUCUCUCACCAAUGUUUCUGUCUCUCCCCCUCCCUUCCACUCUCUAACAAUCAAUGGAAAAAUAUCCUAGGGUGAGGAUUAACAACAACAAAAAAAAAUACUUUAAAAAUGUUCCUUAUUGUUAUCUCUCUGGGUAAAUUUUUUUGCCUUUUUUUGAAAUAGUGCCUAAAACAUUGUGA
Molecule: RNA transcript, 3203 nt
Organism: Myotis lucifugus (little brown bat)
Lineage: Eukaryota; Metazoa; Chordata; Mammalia; Chiroptera; Vespertilionidae
Gene: RAB39A
Gene name: RAB39A, member RAS oncogene family
Exons: 3
Source: RefSeq, a predicted model, not a curated record